UUUGAUCUGUGGGUCAUGGGUCUGAUGCAGGCCGAUCGUGAUAUCAUGGCGAGAGGGGACGAAGCUGGUCCGUUGGAUCAUUGUGGCUUUAACUUUUGACCACGGAAUACUGAGUGUGCAUUGCUCCACCACCACCUGUCCUCGGCCCAGGGACCACUGUUCCACAUCUUUUGUGAUGGGGGAGGACGUUUGGCUAAGCUGGGGCUUUUGUCCUGAUAUCUGUCACGUGUCAGGCAGC
This 238-nucleotide long non-coding RNA is filed under the name Elaeis guineensis (African oil palm). RNAcentral describes it as "long non-coding RNA (EGUI_LNC019718)". The record is from RNAcentral. Lineage: Eukaryota; Viridiplantae; Streptophyta; Magnoliopsida; Arecales; Arecaceae.